UACGAAGGGGGCUAGCGUUGUUCGGAAUUACUGGGCGUAAAGGGCGCGUAGGCGGCCCGCUAAGUCGAACGUGAAAUCCCCGAGCUCAACUCGGGAACUGCGUCCGAUACUGGUGGGCUUGAAUCCGGGAGAGGGAUGCGGAAUUCCAGGUGUAGCGGUGAAAUGCGUAGAUAUCUGGAGGAACACCGGUGGCGAAGGCGGCAUCCUGGACCGGCAUUGACGCUGAGGCGCGAAAGCUAGGGGAGCGAACAGG
This 253-nucleotide ribosomal RNA is filed under the name uncultured bacterium. Its description in RNAcentral is "partial 16S ribosomal RNA". It matches the Rfam family "Bacterial small subunit ribosomal RNA", at positions 524 to 776 of the family's 1533-position model. The record is from RNAcentral.